RNAcentral lists this ribosomal RNA (950 nucleotides) under uncultured archaeon. RNAcentral's name for it is "bacterial SSU rRNA". It matches the Rfam family "Archaeal small subunit ribosomal RNA", at positions 1 to 937 of the family's 1478-position model. The record is from RNAcentral.
UUCCGGUUGAUCCCGCCGGACCCGACUGCUAUUUGGGUGAGGAUAAACCAUGCGAGUUGUAUGGGAUACCUAAAUUUCCCAUAGCAAACUGCUUAGUAACACAUGAUCAACUUGCCCUAUGGAGAAAUAUAACCUCGGGAAACUGAGGAUAAUGCUUCAUAGUUGAAUAGGCUUGGAAAAGUUUUUCAAUGAAAGGGAUAAGAUAAAUGGUUCUUAUCUGCCAUAGGAUAGGAUCGUGCUCGAUUAUGGUUGUUGGUGAGGUAACGGCUCACCAAGCCGAUAAUCGAUAGGGGCCGUGAGAGCGGGAGCCCCAAGAUGGGUACUGAGACAGCGACCCAGGCCUUACGAGGCGCAGCAGGUACGAAACCUCCGCAAUACACGAAAGUGUGACGGGGUUACCCAAAGUGUUCUUAUAGAACUGUGGCAGGUGAGUAAUGUCCCCUGCUAGAAAGGAGAGGGCAAGGCUGGUGCCAGCCGCCGCGGUAAAACCAGCUCUUCAAGUGGUCGGGAUAAUUAUUGGGCUUAAAGUGUCCGUAGCCGGUUUAGUAAGUUCCUGGUAAAAUCAGGUAGCUUAACUAUCUGUAUGCUAGGAAUACUGCUAUACUAGAGGGCGGGAGAGGUCUGAGGUACUACAGGGGUAGGGGUGAAAUCUUAUAAUCCUUGUAGGACCACCAGUGGCGAAGGCGUCAGACUGGAACGCGCCUGACGGUGAGGGGCGAAAGCCAGGGGAGCGAACCGGAUUAGAUACCCGGGUAGUCCUGGCCGUAAACGAUGCAUACUAGGUGAUGGUACGGCCAUGAGCCGUGUCAGUGCCGUAGGGAAACCGUUUAAGUGUGCCGCCUGGGAAGUACGGUCGCAAGGCUAAAACUUAAAGGAAUUGGCGGGGGAGCACCACAAGGGGUGAAGCCUGCGGUUCAAUUGGAGUCAACGCCGGGAAUCACUAGUGCGGC